RNAcentral lists this long non-coding RNA (298 nucleotides) under Parus major (Great Tit). RNAcentral's name for it is "lncRNA (ENSPMJG00000003454.1)". The record is from RNAcentral. Lineage: Eukaryota; Metazoa; Chordata; Aves; Passeriformes; Paridae.
GGCAAGUCCAGUGAGCCUUCCUUCCCUGGCAGGGGCUGGAAAGAUGCACCAGUGCUAUAAACAACAGAAAGUUAAGGGAUGACUUCAGUGCAUUGACACUCACAGCAGAGAAAACAAGAUGGAACGGCUAUCUGAUCCAACAAUUGUCUGGAGUACUGCACUGAAUUGAAGCUCACAGCUCUGUCUUUUUAAAAGGAAAAAAUAAUACAAAAACCUGCUAGUCCCUGACUGACCACAGAAGAUAAUUCCUUCAUACCAGUUUUGAUAAUAAACUAUGAAAAUUAACUUCUGAAUACCA